Molecule: ribosomal RNA, 406 nt
Filed under: uncultured bacterium
Lineage: Bacteria
Description: partial 16S ribosomal RNA
Rfam family: Bacterial small subunit ribosomal RNA
Source: RNAcentral
AUUGAACGCUGGCGGCGGGCCUAACACAUGCAAGUCGAACGAGUGGCGGACGGGUGAGUAAUGUCUGGGAAACUGCCUGAUGGAGGGGGAUAACUACUGGAAACGGUAGCUAAUACCGCAUACCAUCAGAUGUGCCCAGAUGGGAUUAGCUAGUUGGUGGGGUAACGGCUCACCAAGGCGACGAUCCCUAGCUGGUCUGAGAGGAUGACCAGCCACACGGGAACUGAGACACUGUCCAGCCCCGUACGGGAGGCAGCAGUGGGGAACAUUGCACAAUGGGCGCUAGGUUGAUGCAGCCAUGGCGCGUGUCUGAAGAAGGCCUUCGGGUCGUAAAGUACUUCAAGCGGGGAGGCGUUACCCGACGAAGAAGCACCGGCUAACUCCGUGCCAGCAGCCGCGGUAAUUC